RNAcentral lists this ribosomal RNA (367 nucleotides) under uncultured organism. RNAcentral describes it as "bacterial SSU rRNA". It matches the Rfam family "Bacterial small subunit ribosomal RNA", at positions 526 to 896 of the family's 1533-position model. The record is from RNAcentral.
CGGAGGUGGCGAGCGUUACUCGGAAUUAUUGGGUGUAAAGGGCAAGUAGGCGGCUUAAUAAGUGAGGGGUGAAAUCCUGUGACUCAAUCGCAGAAUUGCCUUUCAAACUGUUGAGCUUGAGUCUGAAAGAGGGAAAUGGAAUUAGCAGUGUAAGGGUGAAAUCUGUAGAUAUUGCUAAGAACACCGACGGCGAAGGCAAUUUCCUGGUUCAGUACUGACGCUAAAUUGCGAAAGCUAGGGUAGCAAACGGAAUUAGAUACUCCGGUAGUCCUAGCCGUAAACGAUGAGCACUAGGUGUCGGUCUUUUAGGCCGGUGCCGCAGCUAACGCAUUAAGUGCUCCACCUGGGGACUACGGCCGCAAGGUUA